Molecule: ribosomal RNA, 556 nt
Filed under: uncultured bacterium
Lineage: Bacteria
Description: bacterial SSU rRNA
Rfam family: Bacterial small subunit ribosomal RNA
Source: RNAcentral
GGCCCGCACAAGCGGUGGAGCAUGUGGUUUAAUUCGAUGCAACGCGAAGAACCUUACCUACUCUUGACAUCCAGAGAAUUUAGCAGAGAUGCUUUAGUGCCUUCGGGAACUCUGAGACAGGUGCUGCAUGGCUGUCGUCAGCUCGUGUUGUGAAAUGUUGGGUUAAGUCCCGCAACGAGCGCAACCCUUAUCCUUUGUUGCCAGCGAUUCGGUCGGGAACUCAAAGGAGACUGCCGGUGAUAAACCGGAGGAAGGUGGGGAUGACGUCAAGUCAUCAUGGCCCUUACGAGUAGGGCUACACACGUGCUACAAUGGCGUAUACAAAGAGAAGCGACCUCGCGAGAGCAAGCGGAACUCAUAAAGUACGUCGUAGUCCGGAUUGGAGUCUGCAACUCGACUCCAUGAAGUCGGAAUCGCUAGUAAUCGUAGAUCAGAAUGCUACGGUGAAUACGUUCCCGGGCCUUGUACACACCGCCCGUCACACCAUGGGAGUGGGUUGCAAAAGAAGUAGGUAGCUUAACCUUCGGGAGGGCGCUUACCACUUUGUGAUUCAUGA